GAUCCCCGAGCGCUGGCGGGGCCGGGGCGCUGGCAGUCGGGGCCAUGCGGCGGCGGCGCUGGGCGCUGCAGCGGCGCUGGCUGCUGGCACUGGCGCUGUACACGUUGCUGCUGCUGCUGCCCUACGCGCUGCACAAGCCGCCGCCGCCGCCGUCGGGGGGAGGCUGCCCCAGCCUGCAGGCGGCGCUGGGCGCUUGGGGCGCGGACGGGGAGCCGGAGCCGGAGCCGGGCAGCAACAGCAGCGGCAGCAGCUUGGCGGGGGGCAAGCGGCACAUCUACGUGCACGCCACGUGGCGCACGGGCUCGUCCUUCGUGGGGGAGCUGUUCAACCAGCACCCCGACGUCUUCUACCUGUACGAGCCGGCGUGGCACGUGUGGCAGGCGCUAUACCCGGGCGACGCCCGCAGCCUGCAGGGCGCCCUGCGGGACCUGCUGCGCUCGCUCUUCCGCUGCGACUUCUCGGCGCUGCGCCCCUACGCCCGCGAGCCGCCCGGCGCGGCCGGCGCCAACCUGAGCACGGCGGCGCUGUUCGGGUGGCGCACCAACAAGGUGCUGUGCUCGGCGCCGCUCUGCCCGGCCGCCGCCCGGCCACGCCACCACGUGGGGCUGGUGGACGGCGCGGCCUGCGAGCGGAGCUGCCCGCCGCGGGCGCUGCGGGACCUGGAGGCCGAGUGCCGCAAGUACCCGGUGGUGGCCAUCAAGGACGUGCGGCUGCUGGAGCUGGGCGCCCUGCUGCCCCUGCUGCGUGAGCCGGGCCUGGACGUGAGGGUCAUCCAGCUCUUCCGCGACCCCCGCGCCGUGCACAACUCGCGCCUGCGGGCCCAGGCCGCGCUGCUGCGGGAGAGCGUACAGGUGCUGCGCAGCCAGUCCCUGCACCGCCAGCUGCCGCCCCCCGGGGUGCUGGGGCGGCGCCAGCGCCCACCUGCCGAGUUCUGGGUGAGCGGGGCGCUGGAGGUCAUCUGCCAGGCCUGGCUGGGCGAUGUGGCGCUGGCCCGCCGUGGCCCGCUGGCCUUGCGGCACCGCUACAUGCAGCUCCGCUACGAGGACCUGGUGCGGGAGCCCCGGGCCCAGCUGCGCCGCCUGCUUGCCUUCGCCGGCCUGGCUGCCCCGCCUGCCCUGCUGCGCUUCGCCCAGCGCAUGACCCAUGGCACGGCCUACUCCUCCGACCGCCCCUUCCUGCUCUCCGCCCGUGACGCCCGCCGGGCCGUGACCGCCUGGAGGGAGCGCCUCAGCCGGGACCAGGUGCGCCAUAUCGAGGAUGCCUGCGGCGACGCCAUGCAUUUCCUCUCCUACCCGCUUAGCGCUGGCCCCACCUAGCCACGCUCUGGGUGAGCAGGGUGCUGAAGGUCAUCCAGCUGGAUCGGAGCCUGGCUGGAUUGGGGCUAGGCUAUGCCCCUUUCCCCUGCAAGACUGGAUGGGACUGGGCUGCACCCCUUCCCAGGAUGAGGCACAGCCAGGGUAAGGCUGGGUUAAGUUCCCUUCCCCUUCAUGGCUGGAUCUUGUCCAGGCCUCUCCCCUCUGCUCUCUUCCGCCCAGCCAGAUGGGGCCCUGCUGCUCCCCCUCCCAGUGCCAGAUAAGGACCAUUGCCUGGAUCCAGUCCAUGGACGACCUGGGCGCCACCUAUCCAGCCUACUGGACAAAAAGCUUAACGUACAGAACCUGGAUUAUUGUGCAGCCAGGGACUUCAAAGAAAAGUUUUCACCAAUGAAACUGUACAUUCCAGAGUCUUACAGAACUUCAGCUGAGGCUAAAAACUUUGCAGUUCUCAGUUCUGCAGAGAAUGAACUUGAAUCAGUCAAAACAAUAGGAAAAUGGACAUUUCCUGUAAAGACGUGUUACAGUGCAAUAUGGACAACUGCAGCCCUCCAGUCUGGAGUGCCACCUUUUUUAUUUGAACCUGCCAGUAUGGUGUCAGUGCUUGGUGCUGCUUCUGGCCAUAAGGAGACUGAAAUGUAUUGACUAUACUAGGAUAAAGCUUCUACUGUAUAGCAAAAACUCAAUUCUUUGCAAGAAUGAUAUUGUACACUUAGGAUUUCUAGCACCAUUUUAAUUUCUAGGUGAUUUUUUUUUAAGCUAAUUUCCUCAAUUUCUGAGAAUUUUUAUCUUUUUUCUUUCACCCUGGGGGUUGGAAGAGCACAGAUUACAGUAAGUGGCAAGGGAUGCUUCUCCCUUGAAAAAAUGAGAAAAAUGCUAUUUCUAUUGUUGCUCCACUUUGCACGGAUCAGAACAAGUUAACAGAAAAUAGGUGACACCGCAUUGCACUUUUUUUUAGCGGGGAGAAAAGGAAGCUUAGGACAUAUCUUCAGUUGAUGGAAGUUGAUAGCUCCAUUGAAACCAAGGGUGCUGUAAACCUACGCUGCCUGCCUCAACUCGCACCUUAAAUUAGGGGUGUCAAAGUCACCUCCUGCCCUGGGCCAUACCUGGCCAAGGAGCUGGGGCUGCAAUGGGUAAAGUGGCUAGAGGAUGACCAGGGCUGUAUCAGCUGUUGCCUGUCUUCCAACUGUCAUUGCCAUGUCCAUUGGGGCCUAAGGGCCCUGGAUUGUAUGGCAGGCCACUCCCCCUGGCCAUACCCACCAAUUUCUGGUGGCCUGCCAGUAGCCCACUGGGCCAAAUACAGCAGCUCUGGGGGGUGGAUCUGGCCUGUGGACUGUACGUUUCACACCCCUGCCUUAAAUGAUCCUUUCAUGCUGAGAUUUGGUACUUGCAGUGCUCAUUCUUAAUAUGUUUCUGUUAUUGUUUUAAAAGAACGUUAAAACUACUGGGAAUCUAGUGUUGUUCUACCUGUUAUUAAGCUGUUCCAAUGUUAUGGCACUCUUAAAUGCUGUCAGAAGGAACAACAUUUCAUACCUGACGGUGAACAAUGUCCUUUGCCUCCAAACUAAAAUACAUAAAAAUGAAAAUGUAAUUUAAGGGUUUUUUUGGUGUGGCACUAUAUGAGCUACAUUUUCCCACCUCUAGUUUAACAAUUUCAGAGAAUCAACCCAUUUGAAAAAUUACAGAAUCAUGGAGAAGUAGGGCCAGAAGGGACCUCAUCUAGUUCAACACCCUGCUUGAGGCAGAAAACAUCUAAAUCUAGUAGAUGGCAUAAACUUCAAAACUUCAAAAAAGGUAAAGGUUUUGCUAUCCUGUUCCAAAACAUCUUGUGGAAGGACAAACUAAAUGUAUAUAAUUUAAAUGCAAACAUACACAAAAUGAUUUUUCCCCCAAUUAACUUCUGUAGGAAACUUACAUGUUAACAGUUGGUACAUGUAUAACUUUCAAUUGUUUGUUUUCAGCUAAACGGUAGCAUUUGCAAAGGGAGCAUAAUUCUGCUUUCUACUCUGUGUACCCCAGAUCAUGUGGAGUUGGAUUAUUCUGUAUAAGUACUAUGGAGACAGUCUCCAGAAUUGAUGGGAAAUCUUCGUAUUCUUUCAAAAUAGGGUAACCUAAAGCAGUGUAUAAAAAAAGUACUUUUAUAAAUUCCUGUUGGGGGCCAUUGUU
RNA transcript from Alligator mississippiensis (American alligator), 3479 nucleotides. It is a transcript of the gene named carbohydrate sulfotransferase 7, with no coding region annotated. The transcript is spliced from 3 exons. The record is from RefSeq and is a predicted model, not a curated record. Lineage: Eukaryota; Metazoa; Chordata; Crocodylia; Alligatoridae.